Molecule: ribosomal RNA, 636 nt
Filed under: uncultured bacterium
Lineage: Bacteria
Description: bacterial SSU rRNA
Rfam family: Bacterial small subunit ribosomal RNA (bases 1-548)
Source: RNAcentral
CCUACGGGAGGCAGCAGUAGGGAAUCUUCCGCAAUGGACGAAAGUCUGACGGAGCAACGCCGCGUGAACGAUGAAGGCCUUCGGGUCGUAAAGUUCUGUUGUUAGGGAAGAACAAGUGCUAGUUAAAUAAGCUGGCACCUUGACGGUACCUAACCAGAAAGCCACGGCUAACUACGUGCCAGCAGCCGCGGUAAUACGUAGGUGGCAAGCGUUGUCCGGAAUUAUUGGGCGUAAAGCGCGCGCAGGCGGUUUCUUAAGUCUGAUGUGAAAGCCCCCGGCUCAACCGGGGAGGGUCAUUGGAAACUGGGAAACUUGAGUGCAGAAGAGGAAAGUGGAAUUCCAAGUGUAGCGGUGAAAUGCGUAGAGAUUUGGAGGAACACCAGUGGCGAAGGCGACUUUCUGGUCUGUAACUGACGCUGAGGCGCGAAAGCGUGGGGAGCAAACAGGAUUAGAUACCCUGGUAGUCCACGCUGUAAACGAUGAGUGACUAGUGUUAGACGGGUUUCCGCCGUUUAGUGCUGUAAAGUUACGCUAUUAAGCACUCCGCCGUGGGAGGUACGGUCGGCGAGACGAGAACGUAACGUAAAGUAAGUUAGACGUCGUUGAGAGNGCCGACGGCGACGACGAGGGAGGAGG